This is a long non-coding RNA of Physella acuta, 384 nucleotides long. RefSeq lists it as uncharacterized. NCBI's taxonomy places the organism in Eukaryota, Metazoa, Mollusca, Gastropoda, Physidae. The record is from RefSeq and is a predicted model, not a curated record.
CACCUCGAGGGUAUAUAACCUAAGAUAUCCUCGUAUGUUUUAGUUGCAGAACUAAGGUCUAAAACUACUAUACAGCUGAUUUAUGUACCUUGUAUAUUAAAAACAAAAAGUGACAGAAAAAUGCGAGCUGCUUAUUUCGCCGUAGCCUUGUGCCUGCUAGCAUGUCUUGUCCAGGCUGAACAUCACAACCCUCGAGAUAGAAGAGACCUCUCAGAGAAGUCAAACGAACAAGAAUCAAGAUCUGUGUCAAACAUUGAAAAACGGAAAGAAAAAAGAGGCUUCUGGGGCACUGUUGGGGCGAUAGCUGUGGGAGCCGCCCUUGGAUAAAGGAAACUUUAAAAAUGAUAUAUUGAUGGGUACAAUAAAAAUAUAAGAAUAAGCUAA